RNAcentral lists this ribosomal RNA (100 nucleotides) under Acanthosepion pharaonis. The record is from RNAcentral. Lineage: Eukaryota; Metazoa; Mollusca; Cephalopoda; Sepiida; Sepiidae.
CGUUGAACCACCAGUUCUCGUACGAUCACCGAAGUUAAGCAACGUCGAGCCUGGUCCGUACCUAGAUAGGUUAUCGCUGGGGAAUAACAGAUGCUGCAUU